This is a long non-coding RNA of Dromaius novaehollandiae (emu), 721 nucleotides long. RefSeq lists it as uncharacterized. NCBI's taxonomy places the organism in Eukaryota, Metazoa, Chordata, Aves, Casuariiformes, Dromaiidae. The record is from RefSeq and is a predicted model, not a curated record. The transcript has 3 exons.
UCAAGAGACAUAUGAGGUGUGAUGUACAGUCUUAACACGUGAGUGGUGAACAUGGUCAGAGAGAAACUGGAGUGUUUAGAAUCACAGAACUGUGGGAAGGAGACAAGGAACUGAAGGGUCCUGCAGAGAGCACCUGGUCCUCUCCACAGCCUCUUUUGAGAUGUUCAUCUAACCUGUUCUUAUAAACCUUUGAUCACAGAAUCUCUGCAGUCUCCCCAGGCUCUAACACUGUGAGAAAACCUGAAUUUAAAACCAUGCCUACCGGACUCAGACAUGUGCAAUAUAGGCAACUGAUUACCUGAGCACAGCUGAAUGCUUCUGUCAGCAAAUGCUUAUCUGUCAUAAAUGAUGGAUCUCAGAGGACACGUUGGGGUUUGAGCCAUUUAUCGACAAUCAGCAGUGGGGAAACAGCAGUAUUCAAUGAACGAGUUGCAUUGUUCUACUGCUGCAAAUGAAGUUGAAGAAUUCAGCACCCAAUUCGCUUACGGUGACUCACCUUAUUUUGGACUUUAAUAUAUUGAAGUGACAAGAAGACCUACCAAUUCUCUGAGAAAUGUGUGAGAUUAUAGUUGUGGGAAUGUUUUUCUAAAAGUUUUUUUUUAGGUUCUAUUUCAUACUUUGUGUUUUCCAAAGUCAUAAAAAUCUGAGCCGUGAUUCAUCUAAAUGCCUCUGAAGACUUCAAAAAUACUUAUUUUGAAGAAGUUGUUAUAAUACUUGUCUA